RNAcentral lists this ribosomal RNA (429 nucleotides) under uncultured bacterium. Its description in RNAcentral is "bacterial SSU rRNA". It matches the Rfam family "Bacterial small subunit ribosomal RNA", at positions 355 to 796 of the family's 1533-position model. The record is from RNAcentral.
UGGGGAAUAUUGCACAAUGGGCGAAAGCCUGAUGCAGCGACGCCGCGUGAGGGAUGACGGCCUUCGGGUUGUAAACCUCUUUCAGCAGGGACGAAGCGCAAGUGACUGUACCUGCAGAAGAAGCACCGGCUAACUACGUGCCAGCAGCCGCGGUAAUACGUAGGGUGCGAGCGUUGUCCGGAAUUAUUGGGCGUAAAGAGCUUGUAGGUGGCUCGUUGCGUCGGGAGUGAAAACCCGCGGCUUAACCGCGGGCCUGCUUCCGAUACGGGCGAGCUAGAGUUCGGCAGGGGAGACUGGAAUUCCUGGUGUAGCGGUGGAAUGCGCAGAUAUCAGGAGGAACACCGGUGGCGAAGGCGGGUCUCUGGGCCGAUACUGACACUGAGAAGCGAAAGCGUGGGGAGCGAACAGGAUUAGAUACCCCCGUAGUCC